Molecule: ribosomal RNA, 465 nt
Filed under: Vreelandella stevensii
Lineage: Bacteria; Pseudomonadati; Pseudomonadota; Gammaproteobacteria; Oceanospirillales; Halomonadaceae
Description: partial 16S ribosomal RNA
Rfam family: Bacterial small subunit ribosomal RNA
Source: RNAcentral
CCUACGGGAGGCUGCAGUGGGGAAUAUUGGACAUUGGGCGAAAGCCUGAUCCAGCCAUGCCGCGUGUGUGAAGAAGGCCUUCGGGUUGUAAAGCACUUUCAGUGGGGAAGAAAGCCUUGGGGCUAAUACCCUCGAGGAAGGACAUCACCCACAGAAGAAGCACCGGCUAACUCCGUGCCAGCAGCCGCGGUAAUACGGAGGGUGCGAGCGUUAAUCGGAAUUACUGGGCGUAAAGCGCGCGUAGGCGGUCUGAUAAGCCGGUUGUGAAAGCCCCGGGCUCAACCUGGGAACGGCAUCCGGAACUGUCAGGCUAGAGUGCAGGAGAGGAAGGUAGAAUUCCCGGUGUAGCGGUGAAAUGCGUAGAGAUCGGGAGGAAUACCAGUGGCGAAGGCGGCCUUCUGGACUGACACUGACGCUGAGGUGCGAAAGCGUGGGUAGCAAACAGGAUUAGAUACCCCAGUAGUC